This 253-nucleotide ribosomal RNA is filed under the name uncultured bacterium. RNAcentral's name for it is "partial 16S ribosomal RNA". It matches the Rfam family "Bacterial small subunit ribosomal RNA", at positions 524 to 776 of the family's 1533-position model. The record is from RNAcentral.
UACGGAGGGAGCUAGCGUUGUUCGGAAUUACUGGGCGUAAAGCGUUUGUAGGCGGCUUUGUAAGUUAGAGGUGAAAGCCCGGGGCUCAACCCCGGAAUUGCCUUUAAGACUGCAUCGCUUGAAUCCGGGAGAGGUGAGUGGAAUUCCGAGUGUAGAGGUGAAAUUCGUAGAUAUUCGGAAGAACACCAGUGGCGAAGGCGGCUCACUGGACCGGCAUUGACACUGAGGUGCGAAAGCGUGGGGAGCAAACAGG